AGAACGAACGCUGGCGGCAUGCCUAAUACAUGCAAGUCGAACGAACUCUUCGGAGUUAGUGGCGCACGGGUGCGUAACGCGUGGGAAUCUGCCCCUUGGUUCGGAAUAACAGUUGGAAACGACUGCUAAUACCGGAUGAUGACGAAAGUCCAAAGAUUUAUCGCCAAGGGAUGAGCCCGCGUAGGAUUAGCUAGUUGGUGAGGUAAAGGCUCACCAAGGCAACGAUCCUUAGCUGGUCUGAGAGGAUGAUCAGCCACACUGGGACUGAGACACGGCCCAGACUCCUACGGGAGGCAGCAGUAGGGAAUAUUGGACAAUGGGCGAAAGCCUGAUCCAGCAAUGCCGCGUGAGUGAUGAAGGCCUUAGGGUUGUAAAGCUCUUUACCCGAGAUGAUAUGACAGUAUACGGAGAAUAACGCCCCGACUAACUCCGUCGCCAGCAGCCGC
This 446-nucleotide ribosomal RNA is filed under the name uncultured soil bacterium. RNAcentral's name for it is "bacterial SSU rRNA". It matches the Rfam family "Bacterial small subunit ribosomal RNA", at positions 26 to 518 of the family's 1533-position model. The record is from RNAcentral.